Paramuricea clavata is the source of this 348-nucleotide non-coding RNA. Lineage: Eukaryota; Metazoa; Cnidaria; Anthozoa; Malacalcyonacea; Plexauridae. The record is from the annotation of a GenBank genome assembly.
CUAGACUUGGAUCAAGUCCGUCUCUCUAGAGUCCGAGGGAGAGCGCGAGGUGCAAUAACGCGGGAAAGUUUGAGGGAGAAGACGGACUUGGCUCACCUGCAAGCGCGCCAAAUUUACCGACCCGUUUUUCCGUCGGUAACGCGUCAUAACUAGAUUGCAAUAAUUUAUGCUAAUUGCAAUAGAGCGGAAAUAACAAAGUAUCUUGUUUCAAAAUGUAUAGCGUGCUGUCCAUAGAUAUGGUGCUGUCUCUCUUCGUGUCCGGUUUAGUUUAUACUUAAAUGAUGAAUACGUUUUAAGAAGGUUAUUGAUAUGAUUAUACUAUAUAAAACUGCACAACUAGUGUCACAC